Molecule: ribosomal RNA, 492 nt
Filed under: uncultured bacterium
Lineage: Bacteria
Description: partial 16S ribosomal RNA
Rfam family: Bacterial small subunit ribosomal RNA
Source: RNAcentral
AGUGAACGCUGGCGGUAGGCCUAACACAUGCAAGUCGAACGGCAGCACAGUAAGAGCUUGCUCUUACGGGUGGCGAGUGGCGGACGGGUGAGGAAUACAUCGGAAUCUACUUUUUCGUGGGGGAUAACGUAGGGAAACUUACGCUAAUACCGCAUACGACCUACGGGUGAAAGCAGGGGAUCUUCGGACCUUGCGCGAUUGAAUGAGCCGAUGUCGGAUUAGCUAGUUGGCGGGGUAAAGGCCCACCAAGGCGACGAUCCGUAGCUGGUCUGAGAGGAUGAUCAGCCACACUGGAACUGAGACUCGGUCCAGACUCCUACGGGAGGCAGCAGUGGGGAAUAUUGGACAAUGGGCGCAAGCCUGAUCCAGCCAUACCGCGUGGGUGAAGAAGGCCUUCGGGUUGUAAAGCCCUUUUGUUGGGAAAGAAAAGCAGCGGGUUAAUACCCCGCUGUUCUGACGGUACCCAAAGAAUAAGCACCGGCUAACUUCGUG